This is a long non-coding RNA of Bos indicus x Bos taurus (hybrid cattle), 1039 nucleotides long. Lineage: Eukaryota; Metazoa; Chordata; Mammalia; Artiodactyla; Bovidae. The record is from Ensembl.
GAAAACAAUUGUUGGAGCCACACUAUAACUGUGGUUCUUUAUCUUUCCUUUAUUUCUUUUUCUUUCCCAGAGCAAGAAUAACCUUCAAAGAAGUUUUUGAUCUGAGAUACCCAUUUUCUUGGACCGUAAUCUUAACCCAUAUGCCAUCUAGCUAUGAACUUCUUUUUGAUGAGAAAAGCUGAAGAGGGAGAGAAAUGGUCUGGAUCUAAUCUGGCAGGCAGAAGAUAUGUGGUUCAAAAAUAGUCAGGAUUUUUUAGAGUCUUCAGGGAGUGAAAGAGGCAACCAUGUGACAUUAAAUUCCAGUUCUAAAUAUCCCCCAGCCUCUUAUUUAUGAAGCAAGCUGUAUUAACAAGCAUGGGUAAGCACACAAACAAAAUCUGGCUCUUUCAAGGAACAAAGGAUGUGAGUAGCUCACAGAUUCAACAAAAGUCUGGUGAACCAGACUCAGAAAACAAGCAGGAAUCAAGAAAAUAUGGCUGCAUGAUACAGCCUGGGUCAUGCCCCUGACAACUCAUGCGUUAGCAUCUCUACACCUCUGUUAUGUAUGGAUAACUCUCAACUGUGCCUGGGUGUUUCUGUUUCUUCCUCCAGAUUUGAGGCGCUGGGCAGCAGUCGGAAGCUGAGCUCAGACCACAUUUUACUCUGUUAGCCUACUGUAAGCUAACAACCUGUAUUAGGCUUCAGUAAGGGGAAAUAGGUAGUUCCUCCCAAAACAUCCACCCUAGGGGAUGACUUCAAAUAAAGAGGGUGUCUAGAUCCUGUGGAGCUAAAACACAAAACAAGAACUACACGUGCAAGUACAAAAAGAAUGGAGAUGGAAGAUCAAAACAAGACAACUCCUGAUCUGCUUGUGCAUUUGUCUUUCCAGGUAAAAAGAAAUACAGAAAGGCAGCAAAGUAAUUUAUUAUACUCCAUAACUGAGACUGGGAGAUGGGAGGAAAAAGAAAGACUUAAAUGCUUCAGUCAAGAUAACCUUCCCUUACCCCUGAAAGCUAAGAGUUCAAGGAAAAAUUCAGCCAAGAAAUCAGCUGACUCCUAA